GACGAACGCUGGCGGCGCGCUUAACACAUGCAAGUCGAGCGAGAACCGGGCCUUCGGGCCCGGGGAAAGCGGCGAACGGGUGAGUAACACGUGGGUAACCCACCCUUGGUACCGGGAUAGCCCGGGGAAACCCGGAUUAAUACCGGAUGGCCCAACAGCUCUUCGGGGCGGUUGGAAAAGGUAGCUUCGGCCUCCGACCAAGGACGGGCCCGCGGCGGAUUAGCUUGUUGGUGGGGUAACGGCCCACCAAGGCGACGAUCCGUAGCUGGUCUGAGAGGACGAUCAGCCACACUGGGACUGAGACACGGCCCAGACUCCUACGGGAGGCAGCAGUGGGGAAUCUUGCGCAAUGGGCGAAAGCCUGACGCAGCGACGCCGCGUGGGGAAGAAGCUUCGGUUGUAACCC
RNAcentral lists this ribosomal RNA (406 nucleotides) under uncultured bacterium. Its description in RNAcentral is "bacterial SSU rRNA". It matches the Rfam family "Bacterial small subunit ribosomal RNA", at positions 28 to 431 of the family's 1533-position model. The record is from RNAcentral.